Molecule: ribosomal RNA, 301 nt
Filed under: uncultured bacterium
Lineage: Bacteria
Description: partial 16S ribosomal RNA
Rfam family: Bacterial small subunit ribosomal RNA
Source: RNAcentral
CAGUCGCCGCGGUAAUACGGAGGGUGCAAGCGUUAAUCGGAAUUACUGGGCGUAAAGCGUGCGUAGGCGGUUCGUUAAGUCUGUUGUGAAAGCCCCGGGCCCAACCUGGGAAUGGCAAUGGAUACUGGCGAGCUAGAGUGUGUCAGAGGAUGGUGGAAUUCCCGGUGUAGCGGUGAAAUGCGUAGAGAUCGGGAGGAACAUCAGUGGCGAAGGCGGCCAUCUGGGACAACACUGACGCUGAGGCACGAAAGCGUGGGGAGCAAACAGGAUUAGAUACCCCAGUAGUCCCUGUCUCUUAUAC